Long non-coding RNA from Eriocheir sinensis (Chinese mitten crab), 217 nucleotides. RefSeq lists it as uncharacterized. The transcript is spliced from 2 exons. Lineage: Eukaryota; Metazoa; Arthropoda; Malacostraca; Decapoda; Varunidae. The record is from RefSeq and is a predicted model, not a curated record.
CAAAUUGCAAACUCGUAUUCAAGUAAAAGCUAAACAAAGUAACCUAAAUUCUUCCCCACAGCUUCCAUUGUAGGUGUAAUUUCCGAGUCCAUCUCACCCCAAAACACUAUCCAUCUCCUGUCCAUCAAGGCACUUUAAGACAUCACAAACUGCAAACUCGUAUUCAAGUAAAACCUAAACAAAGUAACCUAAAUUCUUCCCCACAGCAUCAAUUGUA